ACAACUCUGAAUGAAAAGAUAUUUAAAUAAAAAUAACAUAUUUUUUUUAGGCAAAGGAGCAUACAGCCCACCUUAUUGAUGGUGAGUGGUUAACGUCGCCCAUGGACGUCAGCAACGCCAGGAGCAGAGCCAAGCAGCUGCCUACAGUUCAAAAAAUAAAAAAUAAAAAAUCCAGACAAAGAGCAAACAAAAAUUUAAUAGGUACACAUGAAUGUUUGCCCGAUAUGAGAAUCGAACCCAUGACCCUCGGGUCUGGUCUAGCAGUCAAAAGCGCUAACCAAUGUACGGCCGAGUCAAUCAAAAUACACACCUUUGAAAACUGUGAAUUAAAUCAUAAAAUCCAAGCCCAAUCUUUAACAUUUGCUUAGUCAGCGAUAACCUUCAGACACGUACCUACCUACCUACCCGGCAUCCCGAAUUAAGGGAGACGAGUAACGAAUUUCUCUUAUAAUUUAAUUAAAAUUUACACGAGCCGAGUUCAUGAUAAAGUUUUGAUUAAAAUAUGAUGGAAUUUUAAGUUUAAAUUAUGUUUUUACUUGGCGGCCGACGUGGCGCAAAGAUUCAUUAGUGAGUGUAGGCUUAGUUUCGUGCCGGAUAUAUUUGCCACAAUAAGUUCUCACCGCUGAUCUACUGCGGCCCGAAGUAAGUAGGCACUUAAGUCACUUAAUUUCGCGAUCACACCUGGUAAGCGAGUUUCUGGUGCACAUAAUUGUGUCGUAACCAAGUCAUACGGUGUCAACUAUAUUUAUUUUUGUGUUUAGACUCGGCACUUCAAUUCUAUUCGUAUGGUUUUGUUAGGUUCUUGACCUUUAAGAAGCUACCAUUUGAAAAAAUUAUAUAAUGCCUUAUAUCCCCAAUACCGAGUACUGUUAAUACUAUUGUUUCUGAGUGCUGCUUAAGUUUUAAAGUGUUUGUAUUUACCCAGCGAUUUGAUAUUAAUUUUAUCUAUUAUAUUCCUCUGUUGCUAUGUUACUGAAAGUUUGAAAUAAAAACUUUAUAUUUAUGAACUUUUUCCAAAAUGAAAUGAUUGACAACAACUAAAGCUCGCUAGACGUGUAGACAGUAGCUCUCAACUGUUUUGUCUGAUGGAAAAUUUUGAUAACUAUGUAGUGAUUGGGUCAUGAACAUUUCUGCGCAUUUUUUUCUUCUUCUGCGCGUCUACACUGUUAGCAGAGUGGUUGUAGCCGUCAUGUUUCUAGUGACGAGAUUUACAAGCUCCACGCUUCCAUUGCACGAGGCAAUCUAUUGCAGUUCUUAUCUGAUACAGUAUCGUUCAUUUAUGAAUGAGCGGAUGGAAAGACUAUAUCGAAUAUGCUUUGGAUAAAAUUACGUCAUGACUAUCACAGAAGCUACGAAUAGAGCUACUGUGAGGAAGAUUACGCGACGGGGCACAUCGUCGGACUAAUGAAAAACUACGAUGGUAGCAUUUGUCCAUGGACAGUGCUCUCGGGGUUUUUCGAUUUUUUAAGCUAGUAUCUUCUUUUAGUCUUCACACCAUCCUCGACCAACGACACUAUCUUCAAAACGUCUCUUUUGCUGCACGGCAUCCGACUCUGGGCUAAGUUUUUCUGUGUAAUGUUAUUUUUCAGAAGAUAUUAUUAGAUAUAAAUUCUUAUUAAAUAUGUUAUAAAAUACUCAUAAUUUAAUUUAUGUAACUUAAAAUAUUUUACGUUUAUUUUUGUUAUGUGUAUUAACAAAUAUGGUUAGUAUAUAAAAUACGUGAUUAAUAAAUAAAUAAACUUAA
Molecule: long non-coding RNA, 1744 nt
Organism: Bombyx mori (domestic silkworm)
Lineage: Eukaryota; Metazoa; Arthropoda; Insecta; Lepidoptera; Bombycidae
Exons: 2
Source: RefSeq, a predicted model, not a curated record